CAGCAGCCGCGGUAAUACGAAGGGGGCUAGCGUUGCUCGGAAUGACUGGGCGUAAAGGGCGCGUAGGCGGCGGCCAAAGUCAGGCGUGAAAUUCCCGGGCUCAACCUGGGGGCUGCGUUUGAUACUUGGUUGCUUGAGUGGGGAAGAGGGUCGUGGAAUUCCCAGUGUAGAGGUGAAAUUCGUAGAUAUUGGGAAGAACACCGGUAGCGAAGGCGGCAACCUGGUCCUUGACUGACGCUGAGGCGCGAAAGCGUGGGGAGCAAACAGGAUUAGAUACCCCCGUAGUCCCUGUCUCUUAUAC
RNAcentral lists this ribosomal RNA (301 nucleotides) under uncultured bacterium. Its description in RNAcentral is "partial 16S ribosomal RNA". It matches the Rfam family "Bacterial small subunit ribosomal RNA", at positions 509 to 807 of the family's 1533-position model. The record is from RNAcentral.